UCAGUGGGUGUCUGCUGACUUCCCUACCCCCCCCCACCCUCGUGCACACGCUCUCUCUCUCAUUCACUCUCUCAAAUAAAAUCUUAAAGCAUCAUUUCAUAGUUUCAUUUUCUUUAUUCAUUAAAAAGUGGCACAGAAAAUAAUGGAAUCUUCAGAGUUGAGGGAUGAGGGAAUAUGCUGUAUAAUUUAUAGGUAAAUAGUAUGUAUAAAACAUGCGUGGGAAUGAUUUAGGACAGUGUUUAUUCAGAAACAUUGUAAAGUGUGAGAUCUUUAUUUCCAUUCCUCAACCUCCCCUCCCCCCGCCCGCCAAAACAAAUCAGAAUGUUAACAUUGGUUAAAUGUGGGUGGUAGGAAAGGGUAUCUUAUAUUCUCUCCUGUAAUUUUCUGUAUGUUUGAAUUUUUAUAAAGUUUUGAAUUAAAAAAUAAAGUACAGAAACUGAGUGAAUCUAGUGGUCCUGAAUUGCCGUUUGGGAAGAGGGUACCAAUUUAUAAUCCCAACAGUAUACAAAAAUGCCUGUGUCUUUUGCUUUCUCUCAAGUGUUGUGCAUUGCCAAACUGGUAGGUAAAAUAACUGUUAUUUAUGAUAUUUUCUUGACUUAAUUCUCAAUUAUUUGAUUACCAGUGAGAUUGAACAUUUUUUCCUCACAUUUUGGCUAAUUUUACUUCUUUUUAUUAAAGCCUAUUCAGUGUGUUGCUUAUUUUCUGAUCAAAUUAUCACAUUGAUUUGUGAGAGCUCUUUGUAUAUUUAGGUAAUCAACCAUUCUUUCAAAUGUGCCAUGAAUAAUUUAAUUAGUUAUUGUCUUUUUAAAUAAGGUUAUUGAGGGAUGGGACUAAGGACAGAGCACAUCUAACAAUACGGAGAUGACCUAAUUCCUGAAAAACUGCAAACUCAAUAACAUGGGUUUUGGUUUUUUUUUCCCCCCCAAAAUCUUACGCCAUGAUAUUUUAUUUUUGUGCUUUUAUUUACACAGUAACUUUUUUUUUUUCUGUGCCAGUUUUUCCUACAGUCAGAAUUAAGUCUUUCUGCUAUGACUGGAGAGGCACAGGUGAGAGCUAAAAUGCUGUAAUCUGAAGAGUAUUGGAUAGCUCUCUUUGGUCAAAAAUAUUUAAAAAUAGCCCUUUUAUCCUCUGUAUGCCAUUUGAAGUCAAAUAUAGUGAGUUUAUAUUUUGUUUUACUUUUUUGAAAAAUUGAAGUAAAAUUUACAUACUGUAAACUGCAAAGAUCUUGGGUGUUUAAUUUGAUGAGUUUUGAAAAGUGUCCCUUGGUUAUUUAUAUUCAAAAGUUUUAGAAUUUGGGGCACCUGGCUGGCUCAGUCAGAAGAGCAUGUGACUCUUGAUCUCGGGCCCCUGAGUUUGAGCCCCACGUUGGGUGUAGAGAUUACUUAAAUCAGUAAAUAAACUUCAAAAGUUUUAGAAUUUUAUUGUUUUCUUUAACAGUCUGAACCUUCAGUUGUAUACAUAGACAAUCUUUUCACAUUCUGAAUGGCAGUCUCGGGCAUGUCCAUUUGUAAACCUGCCGAGGGCUCUGGUGACGAGAAAGGCAGUGUGGCUGGCAGACCUUCCAAGCCCCUAAAGUACAAGGACAUGAAGGUUUUUGUUUUUUUUUAAACCUGAAAGAAAAAUGAACCCAACAUUAUGUAAUUGUAUUAUUUAUACUGCUAUCAACAGGUAAUCUUAGAGCCCGUUAGUGGAGGCAGAGAAAAACUGCCCCUGCACCUUUAAAAAUCAUAUUUUUCUCUGUCCCUGUGAUAAACACCUGUGGCUUUGGGGGCAGUAUUUUCGUUUUAUUUCAUGGUUAGAGGUAGGCUUUAAUCUAUCAUUAUUGUUUCCUUUCUCCUAAAAGCACCAUUUAAAUGAGAAGUUACUGGGUUUCUAAAUGUUCGUGUAAGAACAUCUUUCUUUGAUUCUGGUAUUUGUACUGUCCAGAUCUCUUCUGAAAUGAGGUUCAGUGUUUAUAGUCAACAGAAAUUUUGGAAGUAAGUUUGUAACCAGUUUGUUCCACAUGAAUAUAAAUCUUUU
Molecule: long non-coding RNA, 2019 nt
Organism: Ailuropoda melanoleuca (giant panda)
Lineage: Eukaryota; Metazoa; Chordata; Mammalia; Carnivora; Ursidae
Exons: 2
Source: RefSeq, a predicted model, not a curated record